UGGGGAAUAUUGCACAAUGGGCGCAAGCCUGAUGCAGCAACGCCGCGUGAGGGACGACGGCCUUCGGGUUGUAAACCUCUUUUAGUAGGGAAGAAGCGAAAGUGACGGUACCUGCAGAAAAAAGCACCGGCUAACUACGUGCCAGCAGCCGCGGUAAUACGUAGGGUGCGAGCGUUGUCCGGAAUUAUUGGGCGUAAAGAGCUCGUAGGCGGUCUGUCGCGUCUGCUGUGAAAACCCGAGGCUCAACCUCGGGCCUGCAGUGGGUACGGGCAGACUAGAGUGCGGUAGGGGAGAAUGGAAUUCCUGGUGUAGCGGUGGAAUGCGCAGAUAUCAGGAGGAACACCGAUGGCGAAGGCAGUUCUCUGGGCCGUAACUGACGCUGAGGAGCGAAAGCGUGGGGAGCGAAACAGGAUUAGAUACCCUGGUAGUCCACGCCGUAAAACGUUGGGCGCUAGAUGUGGGGACCA
This 467-nucleotide ribosomal RNA is filed under the name uncultured bacterium. RNAcentral describes it as "partial 16S ribosomal RNA". It matches the Rfam family "Bacterial small subunit ribosomal RNA", at positions 355 to 831 of the family's 1533-position model. The record is from RNAcentral.